RNAcentral lists this long non-coding RNA (769 nucleotides) under Populus trichocarpa (black cottonwood). RNAcentral describes it as "long non-coding RNA (PTRI_LNC004412)". The record is from RNAcentral. Lineage: Eukaryota; Viridiplantae; Streptophyta; Magnoliopsida; Malpighiales; Salicaceae.
GCAAACUCAAUUGUUUUGGAUUCCUGACUCAAAGUUGUAUAAACGCUCCAAAUUUCAGCCAAAAACGAUGUCAUAUGAGGGUGAUAUGAUUUUUCAAAGAUGACAGCUAAAUUCUGCCAGCAAUCAGGUUUCGUGAAGAAACAAAUCCAAAUUACAUCCCGAAGCAUCAAAACCGACAUCCAAGUUUUAAUUUCAGCAAUUUAGCUCCUCAAGAACAUCAAUCCAGAAGGUCAAGGAAGGCAGCCACCAACCUCAAGCCACCAACCUCAAACCACCAACCAGCUGCCAGCCACCAGCCACCAGCCGCCAGCCGCCUUCACACUACCACCAUCUCUUGAUGUUCACACUUGAACUUUGAUUUUUCUUACUUGCAAUUUGUGUAUAAAUAGGCAGCUAAGUUCAUGAUAUUAGGAGAGCCAAGAGAGAGGGAGAGGGAGUGCAGUAGAAUCAAAGAAAGAAGGGUGGCAACCAUAAGAGAAGAAACACAAACUCUCCCCUCUACAACCCUGAAAUCAUGUAUUCUUUCAUCUUUAGGAGUAGUUUUUCAAUAGAUAUGCAAGGCUAAGCUCGUUUUCUUGGUUGCAAGGACGCAAACACCUUCAGAUUUCAAGAACUGUGAGAUUUAUUCUUCCAUUUAUUUUCAGUUUGUAUUAUGAAUGAGUAUGUUUGUUUUCCUAUGCAUAUUUCCUAUGAUUGUUUAUCUUAAUUGCUAAAAGCGGACUCUAAGUUAUUAUUGUGAACAAUCUAUUGCUAAGUUUGAUAUCAAAAC